GCUGCAACCAAAGCCAAACAAGUAGGAAAAGCCGGGAAGCCUGUACCGUGACCAGUAACACAUCCGUCGAACCAUUGGUGUUGAAUUCAAUCAAAGUUCAUGAUGGAUCAGAAAGGAAUUGGAGAUAGCUAAUCCAGAAUACCAACGUAAGCGACAGGAAGGGACAGGAUGGUCUAUGACGAGGAAAAUUCAGGCUGAGUCGUACAUCGCCAGUCGACAUCUUGAUCAGCAAGAUUGAUUAUGAUUAAUAUAAGUUAAUCCUUAGUGUGUUCUUUUGUUGCAAAAUAAAGGUUAUUGUUGUGAUUGACAAUAGAUCAGCUAUCA
Pecten maximus is the source of this 324-nucleotide long non-coding RNA. RefSeq lists it as uncharacterized. The transcript is spliced from 2 exons. The record is from RefSeq and is a predicted model, not a curated record. NCBI's taxonomy places the organism in Eukaryota, Metazoa, Mollusca, Bivalvia, Pectinida, Pectinidae.